Molecule: ribosomal RNA, 717 nt
Filed under: Pseudomonas simiae
Lineage: Bacteria; Pseudomonadati; Pseudomonadota; Gammaproteobacteria; Pseudomonadales; Pseudomonadaceae
Description: bacterial SSU rRNA
Rfam family: Bacterial small subunit ribosomal RNA
Source: RNAcentral
CAGUCGAGCGGUAGAGAGAAGCUUGCUUCUCUUGAGAGCGGCGGACGGGUGAGUAAUGCCUAGGAAUCUGCCUGGUAGUGGGGGAUAACGUUCGGAAACGGACGCUAAUACCGCAUACGUCCUACGGGAGAAAGCAGGGGACCUUCGGGCCUUGCGCUAUCAGAUGAGCCUAGGUCGGAUUAGCUAGUUGGUGAGGUAAAGGCUCACCAAGGCGACGAUCCGUAACUGGUCUGAGAGGAUGAUCAGUCACACUGGAACUGAGACACGGUCCAGACUCCUACGGGAGGCAGCAGUGGGGAAUAUUGGACAAUGGGCGAAAGCCUGAUCCAGCCAUGCCGCGUGUGUGAAGAAGGUCUUCGGAUUGUAAAGCACUUUAAGUUGGGAGGAAGGGCAGUUACCUAAUACGUGAUUGUUUUGACGUUACCGACAGAAUAAGCACCGGCUAACUCUGUGCCAGCAGCCGCGGUAAUACAGAGGGUGCAAGCGUUAAUCGGAAUUACUGGGCGUAAAGCGCGCGUAGGUGGUUUGUUAAGUUGGAUGUGAAAUCCCCGGGCUCAACCUGGGAACUGCAUUCAAAACUGACUGACUAGAGUAUGGUAGAGGGUGGUGGAAUUUCCUGUGUAGCGGUGAAAUGCGUAGAUAUAGGAAGGAACACCAGUGGCGAAGGCGACCACCUGGACUAAUACUGACACUGAGGUGCGAAAGCGUGGGGAGCAA